AAGGCAAGCUAAGGUUCAGAGAGGCUGUGAUCCCUCCAAGGCCACUCAGUCCACAGCAUUCUCUGGUGGCAGACGCUGCAGGAGGAGAUAAUAAUCCCUGUGUUCCUGGGCGAGUCAGUGCCACCCGAGAUGUUGGCGGCCACUUUGGCUGAGCUGGACGGAUGCCUGCAGCUGCUCGAGGACAAGUUCCUGCGGGACCAGGCCUUCCUUACUGGGUCCCGUAUCUCUGUGGCUGGCUUGGUGGCAAUCACGGAGCUGAUGCAUGAGAGUGCCAUGGGGUGCGGUGGCCCGCUGGGCAGUGGUGUAUCCGGGAAGGGAGCUGACAUCCCAGCUCAUGUUGUCUUUUCUGGCUGUGGGACCCUGUCCCAUCAGUGCUGGCUGCUGAGUCUUUGAAAGCAGACCCACGGUGGCAGCAUGGUGCCCAACACGUGGAGGCUGCAGUGCGGGAGGACCUCUUCCAGGAGGCCCUCCCAGCUGUCCUGAAGGCCAAGGACCUGCCUCCAGUAGAACCUGCUGUUAAAGAGAAUCUGAAGACCUUAAUGCAGCUUUUCUUGCUGUGAGUGUGUGUCCCACACUUGCUGAGCCACUGAGGGGAUGCUGUGUUGGUAGAAUAAAGACAUGGAGCUGUC
Molecule: RNA transcript, 629 nt
Organism: Pan troglodytes (chimpanzee)
Lineage: Eukaryota; Metazoa; Chordata; Mammalia; Primates; Hominidae
Gene name: glutathione S-transferase theta-3-like
Exons: 3
Source: RefSeq, a predicted model, not a curated record